GACGAACGCUGGCGGCGUGCUUAACACAUGCAAGUCGAACGGAAAGGCCCUGCUUUUGUGGGGUGCUCGAGUGGCGAACGGGUGAGUAACACGUGAGUAACCUGCCCUUGACUUUGGGGUAACUUCAGGAAACUGGUGCUAAUACCGGAUAGGAGCUCCUGCUACAUGGUGGUGGUUGGAAAGUUUCGGCGGUUGGGGGUGGACUCGCGGCUUAUCAGCUUGUUGGUGGGGUAGUGGCUUACCAAGGCUUUGACGGGUAGCCGGCCUGAGAGGUUGACCGGCGACAAUGGGACUGAGAGACGGACCAGACGCCUACGGGAGGCAGCAGUGGGGAAUAUUGCACAAUGGGGGGAAGCCUGAUGCAGCAACGCCGCGUGCGGGAUGAAGGCCUGCGGGUUGUAAACCGCUUUCGCCUGUGACGAAGCGUGAGUGACGGUAAUGGGUAAAGAAGCACCGGCUAACUACGUG
Molecule: ribosomal RNA, 468 nt
Filed under: uncultured bacterium
Lineage: Bacteria
Description: partial 16S ribosomal RNA
Rfam family: Bacterial small subunit ribosomal RNA
Source: RNAcentral